UUCCAGCUCCAGUAGCGUAUAUUAAAGUUGUUGCAGUUAAAAAACUCGUAGUUGGAUUUCUGAUAGUAGCGUUGGGCCCGCCCGGGUUACCGGUGUGAGUGCCUGUUCGCUCCCUUCAUCCUUCUAGAGAACGGUUCUCUCCUUCAUUGGCAGUGGGAUCGCGAUCUAGAUCUUUUACUUUGAAAAAAUUAGAGUGCUCAAAGCAGGCUUUUACGCCUGAAUAUUCGUGCAUGGAAUAAUAGAAUAGGAAGUCGUUUCUAUUUUGUUGGUUUUCGGAAAUCGACUUAAUGAUUAAUAGGGACAGUCGGGGGCAUUUGUAUUCAAACGACAGAGGUGAAAUUCUUGGACCGUUUGAAGACAAACUACUGUGAAAGCAUUUGCCAAGAAUGUUUUCAUCA
RNAcentral lists this ribosomal RNA (398 nucleotides) under Crustacea sp. 'Maxillopoda'. RNAcentral's name for it is "partial small subunit ribosomal RNA". It matches the Rfam family "Eukaryotic small subunit ribosomal RNA", at positions 583 to 975 of the family's 1831-position model. The record is from RNAcentral. Lineage: Eukaryota; Metazoa; Arthropoda.